This 406-nucleotide ribosomal RNA is filed under the name uncultured bacterium. Its description in RNAcentral is "partial 16S ribosomal RNA". It matches the Rfam family "Bacterial small subunit ribosomal RNA", at positions 30 to 526 of the family's 1533-position model. The record is from RNAcentral.
AUUGAACGCUGGCGGCAGGCUUAACACAUGCAAGUCGAGCGAGCGGCGGACGGGUGAGUACUGUAUGGGAAACUGCCUGAUGGUGGGGGAUAACUACUGGAAACGGUAGCUAAUACCGCAUAACAUCAGAUGUGCGAAGGUGGGAUUAGCUAGUAGGUGGGUGAAUGGCUCACCGAGGCGACGAUCCCUAGCUGGGCUGAGAGGAUGACCAGCAACACUGGAAAUGAGGCACGUGCCAGAGUCCUACGGGAGGCAGCAGUGAGGAAUAUUGCACAAUGUGCGCAAGCCUGAUGCAGCCAGGCCGCGUGUAUGAAGAAGGCCUUCGGGUUGUAAAGUACUUUCAGUCGUGAGGCGUUACCGACAGGAGAAGCACCGGCUAACUCCGUGCCAGCAGCCGCGGUAAUAC